UAGGGAAUCUUCGGCAAUGGACGAAAGUCUGACCGAGCAACGCCGCGUGAGUGAAGAAGGUUUUCGGAUCGUAAAACUCUGUUGUUAGAGAAGAACAAGGACGUUAGUAACUGAACGUCCCCUGACGGUAUCUAACCAGAAAGCCACGGCUAACUACGUGCCAGCAGCCGCGGUAAUACGUAGGUGGCAAGCGUUGUCCGGAUUUAUUGGGCGUAAAGCGAGCGCAGGCGGUUUCUUAAGUCUGAUGUGAAAGCCCCCGGCUCAACCGGGAAGGGUCAUUGGAAACUGGGAGACUUGAGUGCAGAAGAGGAGAGUAGAAUUCCAUGUGUAGCGGUGAAAUGCGUAGAUAUAUGGAGGAACACCAGUGGCGAAGGCGGCCCCCUGGACAAAGACUGACGCUCAGGUGCGGAAGCGUGGGGAGCAAACAGG
This 429-nucleotide ribosomal RNA is filed under the name Chloroflexota bacterium. RNAcentral's name for it is "Chloroflexi bacterium partial 16S ribosomal RNA". It matches the Rfam family "Bacterial small subunit ribosomal RNA", at positions 355 to 776 of the family's 1533-position model. Lineage: Bacteria; Bacillati; Chloroflexota. The record is from RNAcentral.